This is a long non-coding RNA of Nicotiana tabacum (common tobacco), 453 nucleotides long. RefSeq lists it as uncharacterized. The record is from RefSeq and is a predicted model, not a curated record. NCBI's taxonomy places the organism in Eukaryota, Viridiplantae, Streptophyta, Magnoliopsida, Solanales, Solanaceae.
CUUUCCCUCCCAUUUUUUUACACAUAAUCACCCAUUCCCUCCAAAUAGUCUCCAUGUAAAUUAAAUAUAUUCAAUCAAAAAAGAAAUAAGCAAAAGGGUUUCAUCUCUCUCAGCCACGCCGCUGCCAAUCGCAUCUUUCUCUGAUCAUCGCCGACCACCAUCCCGAGGUUUGCUUCUAUGGAAAGGGUUGGAAUAUGUUUUAUGUGAUCAAAGGAUGUUCUGUGUCUACCAUAUUUCUUCCAAGUCAUACAUUAAUGAUGUCCAAACUUUUUGCAUUUGGAAGAUUUCAAUAUAAUGAAGAGUUGCAAAUAUUUAUUGUGGACUUAUGUAUCUAUUAUUUUGUUAUUGUAGGCAUUCAAUAUGAUUAGUUCUAAUAAUAUUAGUUAUUUACUUCAAACAAUGUAAUUUUAUCUUUUAUGUCAUUUAUACAGUAAUAAUAUAGAUUAGUACUUU